RNAcentral lists this ribosomal RNA (456 nucleotides) under uncultured organism. RNAcentral describes it as "partial 16S ribosomal RNA". It matches the Rfam family "Bacterial small subunit ribosomal RNA", at positions 333 to 797 of the family's 1533-position model. The record is from RNAcentral.
ACACUCCUACGGGAGGCAGCAGUGGGGAAUAUUGCACAAUGGGCGCAAGCCUGAUGCAGCGACGCCGCGUGGGGGAUGAAGGCCUUCGGGUUGUAAACUCCUUUCGCUAGGGACGAAGCUUUUUUGUGACGGUACCUAGAUAAGAAGCACCGGCUAACUACGUGCCAGCAGCCGCGGUAAUACGUAGGGUGCGAGCGUUGUCCGGAAUUACUGGGCGUAAAGGGCUCGUAGGUGGUUUGUCGCGUCGUCUGUGAAAUUCUGGGGCUUAACUCCGGGCGUGCAGGCGAUACGGGCAUAACUUGAGUGCUGUAGGGGUAACUGGAAUUCCUGGUGUAGCGGUGAAAUGCGCAGAUAUCAGGAGGAACACCGAUGGCGAAGGCAGGUUACUGGGCAGUUACUGACGCUGAGGAGCGAAAGCAUGGGUAGCGAACAGGAUUAGAUACCCCGGUAGUCCCA